UUACUUGUUCUUGAAGCUU
This 19-nucleotide non-coding RNA is filed under the name Arabidopsis thaliana (thale cress). The record is from RNAcentral. Lineage: Eukaryota; Viridiplantae; Streptophyta; Magnoliopsida; Brassicales; Brassicaceae.